UACAGAGGGGGCAAGCGUUGUUCGGAAUUACUGGGCGUAAAGGGCGUGCAGGCGGUUUGUUAAGUCUAGGGUGAAAGCUCCCGGCUCAACUGGGAGAGGUCCUUGGAUACUGGCAAACUUGAGGGAGGCAGAGGAGAGUGGAAUUCCCGGUGUAGUGGUGAUAUGCGUAGAUAUCGGGAGGAACACCAGUGGCGAAGGCGGCUCUCUGGGCCUUUCCUGACGCUGAGACGCGAAAGCGUGGGGAGCGAACCGG
RNAcentral lists this ribosomal RNA (253 nucleotides) under uncultured bacterium. Its description in RNAcentral is "partial 16S ribosomal RNA". It matches the Rfam family "Bacterial small subunit ribosomal RNA", at positions 524 to 776 of the family's 1533-position model. The record is from RNAcentral.